Molecule: ribosomal RNA, 496 nt
Filed under: uncultured bacterium
Lineage: Bacteria
Description: partial 16S ribosomal RNA
Rfam family: Bacterial small subunit ribosomal RNA
Source: RNAcentral
AUUGAACGCUGGCGGCAUGCCUAAUACAUGCAAGUCGAGCGGAAACAUGAAGCGCUUUCCUCCCUUACGGUCGCGGCGCGCGGGUGUGUAAAACGUGGAUAAAAUACCUCUAAGACUGGGGUUACUUAGUGAAAACGGUGCCAAUUACGGCUUAUCUAUUCAACAGCAUAGAUCAAUAGUUAAAGACGUCUUUGCUUUGACUUAUAGAUGGAUCCGAGCCGCAUUAGCUAGUUGGUAAGGUAACGGCUUACCAAGGCAACGAUGCGUAGCCGACCUGAGAGGGUGACCGGCCACACUGGAACUGAGACACGGUCCAGACUCCUACGGGAGGCAGCAGUGGGGAAUAUUCCGCAAUGGGCGAAAGCUUGACGGAGCAACGCCGCGUGAGUGAUGAAGGCCUUCGGAUCGUAAAACUCUGUUAUUAGGGAAGAACAAAAGUGUAAGUAACUAUGCACGUCUUGACGGUACCUAAGCAGAAAGCCACGGCUAACUACGU